Molecule: long non-coding RNA, 204 nt
Organism: Thalassophryne amazonica
Lineage: Eukaryota; Metazoa; Chordata; Actinopteri; Batrachoidiformes; Batrachoididae
Exons: 3
Source: RefSeq, a predicted model, not a curated record
AGGAUAAUUUGGACAAGGCUCUUUCAGCUAGUAAUGACAGUCUGUCUGAGAACAACAAGGAGACUUCAGGAGUGUUCAGCGGAAUGUUCAGAAAGUCCCCAAAGUUCUUUGGCACAAGGACAAAGUCUAAGGAGGAUUUGUUUGCAGCCAGUGAAGUCUCGGCCAACGACGACGAGCUCACUGAGAACAACAACGUCAAGGUGA